Molecule: ribosomal RNA, 341 nt
Filed under: uncultured bacterium
Lineage: Bacteria
Description: bacterial SSU rRNA
Rfam family: Bacterial small subunit ribosomal RNA
Source: RNAcentral
AAUCAACGCUGGCGGCGUGCCUCAGACAUGCAAGUCGAACGAUUAAAGCUCUCUUCGGAGAGUGUAUAGAGUGGCGCACGGGUGAGUAACACGUAAGUAAUCUACCUUCGAGUGGGAAUAACACCGAGAAAUCGGUGCUAAUACCGCAUAAUGCAGCGGCAUCGCAAGAUGACAGUUGUUAAAGAUUUAUCGCUUGAAGAGGAGCUUGCGGCAGAUUAGCUAGUUGGUAAGGUAAUGGCUUACCAAGGCUACGAUCUGUAACCGGUCUAAGAGGACGGUCGGUCACACUGACACUGAAUAACGGGUCAGACUCCUACGGGAGGCAGCAGUCGGGGAAUUUU